This 19-nucleotide microRNA is filed under the name Homo sapiens (human). Its description in RNAcentral is "hsa-miR-5701". Lineage: Eukaryota; Metazoa; Chordata; Mammalia; Primates; Hominidae. The record is from miRBase by way of RNAcentral.
UUAUUGUCACGUUCUGAUU